This 503-nucleotide ribosomal RNA is filed under the name uncultured bacterium. RNAcentral describes it as "bacterial SSU rRNA". It matches the Rfam family "Bacterial small subunit ribosomal RNA", at positions 427 to 921 of the family's 1533-position model. The record is from RNAcentral.
AAAGCUCUUUCGGCGGGGAAGAAAUUGCACGGGUUAAUACCCUGUGUAGAUGACGGUACCCGAAUAAGAAGCACCGGCUAACUACGUGCCAGCAGCCGCGGUAAUACGUAGGGUGCGAGCGUUAAUCGGAAUUACUGGGCGUAAAGCGUGCGCAGGCGGUUUGGUAAGUCAGAUGUGAAAUCCCCGGGCUCAACCUGGGAACUGCAUUUGAGACUGCCAGGCUGGAGUUUGGCAGAGGGGGGUGGAAUUCCACGUGUAGCAGUGAAAUGCGUAGAGAUGUGGAGGAACACCGAUGGCGAAGGCAGCCCCCUGGGCCAAUACUGACGCUCAUGCACGAAAGCGUGGGGAGCAAACAGGAUUAGAUACCCUGGUAGUCCACGCCCUAAACGAUGUCAACUAGGUGUUGGGAGGGUUAAACCUUUUAGUGCCGUAGCUAACGCGUGAAGUUGACCGCCUGGGGAGUACGGCCGCAAGGCUAAAACUCAAAGGAAUUGACGGGGGAG